Molecule: ribosomal RNA, 375 nt
Filed under: Staphylococcus sp.
Lineage: Bacteria; Bacillati; Bacillota; Bacilli; Caryophanales; Staphylococcaceae
Description: bacterial SSU rRNA
Rfam family: Bacterial small subunit ribosomal RNA
Source: RNAcentral
CGAGCGAACAGACGAGGAGCUUGCUCCUCUGACGUUAGCGGCGGACGGGUGAKUAACACGUGGAUAACCUACCUAUAAGACUGGGAUAACUUCGGGAAACCGGAGCUAAUACCGGAUAAUAUAUUGAACCGCAUGGUUCAAUAGUGAAAGACGGUUUUGCUGUCACUUAUAGAUGGAUCCGCGCCGCAUUAGCUAGUUGGUAAGGUAACGGCUUACCAAGGCAACGAUGCGUAGCCGACCUGAGAGGGUGAUCGGCCACACUGGAACUGAGACACGGUCCAGACUCCUACGGGAGGCAGCAGUAGGGAAUCUUCCGCAAUGGGCGAAAGCCUGACGGAGCAACGCCGCGUGAGUGAUGAAGGUCUUCGGAUCGUA